GCGGACGUGGCGGAACUGGCAGACGCGCCAGAUUUAGGAUCUGGUACGACGAGUGUGGGGGUUCAAGUCCCUUCGUCCGCACCA
RNAcentral lists this transfer RNA (84 nucleotides) under Clostridia bacterium. RNAcentral describes it as "tRNA-Leu". It matches the Rfam family "tRNA". Rfam says of the family: Transfer RNA (tRNA) molecules are approximately 80 nucleotides in length. Lineage: Bacteria; Bacillati; Bacillota; Clostridia. The record is from RNAcentral.